GAUGAACGCUGGCGGCGUGCUUAACACAUGCAAGUCGAACGAACGACUAUUAACAGAACCUUUCGGGGCGAAGAUGAUAGAAGUUAGUGGCGGACGGGUGCGUAACGCGUGGGUAAUCUGCCUUUGUCAAAGGAAUAACUAUUCGAAAGAAUAGCUAAAACCGUAUAACAUAUUAAUAGGGCAUCCUAAUAAUAUCAAAACGAUAGUGGACAAAGAUGAGCCCGCGUCUGAUUAGCUAGUUGGUGAGAUAAAAGCCCACCAAGGCAACGAUCAGUAGCCGACCUGAGAGGGUGAACGGCCACAUUGGAACUGAGACACGGUCCAAACUCCUACGGGAGGCAGCAGUGGGGAAUAUUGCACAAUGGGGGGAACCCUGAUGCAGCAACGCCGCGUGAGUGAAGAAGGCAUUCGUGUCGUAAAACUCUGUAGUAGGGGAAGAAAGAA
This 444-nucleotide ribosomal RNA is filed under the name Filifactor alocis. RNAcentral describes it as "bacterial SSU rRNA". It matches the Rfam family "Bacterial small subunit ribosomal RNA", at positions 28 to 453 of the family's 1533-position model. The record is from RNAcentral. Lineage: Bacteria; Bacillati; Bacillota; Clostridia; Peptostreptococcales; Filifactoraceae.